This is a non-coding RNA of Paramisgurnus dabryanus, 5063 nucleotides long. The record is from RefSeq and is a predicted model, not a curated record. Lineage: Eukaryota; Metazoa; Chordata; Actinopteri; Cypriniformes; Cobitidae.
UGGUGUUUACCUGGAAAAACUUUGUAAAACUGUGCAAGGUACAGCAUUUGUUGCUGCUAAUAAUCUAGAUGCCCACUCUCUUGCAGGAUUUCUGGAGAGCGUCUGCAAGUUGAUGACCACUUGCAACCAAACACCAAAAAGCAGUCAGUUACCAUCUUGAUUGUAGUUCAUUUUUCAAACCACCAGUUGAGAUCUCAAAGGUGACCCCAAUUUUGCUUACCUCUUUCCCCAUGAAUGUUCAGAGUGAAAUUACUGCAUCAGUCUGGAUCUGUUCUUGAUGCAUUUUCUGUCAAUUUAGAUGGAAUCAAGGAUCAUCCAGGCAUGAUUCUCUGUUCUGGGUCAUGAUCAGGUCUCCCUGAAUUUGCACAUAUUGAUAAGAUUGUUCUUGCUAACACAGAAAUUUCAUUUGUUUGUCACAAAAUUACAGCCUGGUACUGUGAGCACUUGAGAUCAUACUCAGUUCUCUGCAGGGAUGUGACCUCAAUGUGUGUAGUUAGGAUUUCAGAGCUGAAUGAUGUGUUCCGAUUAUCAGCAUACGGUGCAAGGAGAACUUAUGGUGACUCUAAGACGAUAUGUUUUCUGCUAAAAAAUUAUUUAUUGUUCCCUAUAGGGAUGUGCAACAGAAGUUAACCAUUAGAGUUAUUAUCUCAGAGGGAGAUAUAAGAAAAAUUAUUAUGACACCAAAGCCUGACAGACUUGAAGAUUUGAUUGAGUGGCUCACAUGCACUCUCCCAACAAAUUACACCUUUUUCCAAUACCAAGAUCCUGAAUUUAACAAUGAACUCUGCAAUCUUACAGAUCUUUCUGAGCUUCAAGAUCAGCCAACCAUCAAAAUCCAAUAAAUGAGCUUAUACCGGUAUCUGCACAAAAUGAAUGUAUUAGUGAAAAAAGCAGCCAGGCACACACAGAGAUACUCUAUGUAUGUUCUCUGGAUAGAAGUUGUCAGGGCCAGAUCCAUUGAGCAUUCCAAAAUUUUCAGUGGAUCUCGAGUAUCCACUUUCUUCAAGGCAACCUACUGUAUAUGAGGGAUGAAACAAAUCUUAAAGUCUCGAAAUAGAUGAAACAUGAUAUUCUGGAGAAACUUGCUGAGACCAUAUAUAAGUUUAAAGCAACUCUGACAAAAAAUAAUUUGAAGCUGUCACCAAAGCCUUGAUACAAACCCACCCAUGUCUUAAAUAGAUAGGCUCAUGCUCUGGUUGGGAAGGAUGGAAAAAUAGCUUAAAAUUCCAGAUGGGAUAUUAGAGAAACAAAAUGCAUCAGACUUGAAGUCACUGUCAAUGCUGGUAAGCAGGGGAGGAACACUACAAUUGGCAACCCUACCAACAAAGACAUAAAGAAGCCAAGGAAAGGGGAAAUACACCUGAAAAUCUAGAAGGAAUGGAUGACCACAAUUUAGAAGGAGUAUGAGAAGUCCUUUUCAAUGAAAUGAAGAAGACAAAGCCAAAUGGAUCCCUCGUCAAGAAACACAUGGACCCAUUAUUUGCUCUUCACAGAAAAGAAGUUGUUAACGACAAGCCUCACAUAAGCCAUGUGAUUAUUCGAUGGCCAGCUCUUUUUACAGAAAGUUAGAGAUUUUGCCUCUGACGUCAUCCGUGUUCUCGUAAGCUGCUCGCGUUGAGUUCUUCGCCUCAAGAUGACAGAUCGGUCGCUUCAUGCGGUGCUAUUUCAAAUAAGAUGAUGGACUGGGAGUGCAGGGUGUGCAAAAAGAUUCAUCGUUCAAGACUCCACCUCCUCAGACACUAUAGACUACAACAUAGAGACUGCUCAAAAAUAAGUCCACUUCCAUAGUUGAAGGACGCUUACUGCUGAGUCCAAAGAGGUUCAUACCAGUUACACAUAAUGGACAGAAGUGAAAGCACAUCUGUAAGCAUUGACUCUUGUGCAAUGAUGCUACGUGUUGUUCAAGCUGAUCGUGCAAGGGAAAUUAAAUUAAAAAACACCCCUGUUUAAAAGAGCCAGGCUCUGACACUGGUUGGAACGGCUGGAAAACAAGCAUUAAGUUUAAGAUGGGCAACUUGAGAAGCAAAAUGAGGAAAAUUGGGUGUCUCGAAGUUUCUGUGAAUGCUGGGAAAAGAAGCCAAACCCACCCUGAGAAUGAACCAUCACAUUCCAAAAUAAAGAAACCAAGGUGUUCUGAGGUUAACUAUUUGCCUAACUUUCCUGUGGGGGAGGAUGAAGCAUCGCUGGAAACAAUACGACAAGAAAUUGCCUUAGAAGUAGAGAAGAGAGAAAUAAACCUUAGUCUCAUCCACAAGAAAAUGGAGAAAACAUUUGCUCUAAGACGGCAGACCAUAGUUAACACCAGCCCAUCGGUAAAAGAUUUUCUGCAUCUCUGGCCUGCACUGUGUGUAACAUCUGAGGUAAAUAAUGAAUUAGUUGUACUGUAUAUCUUGCUAAAUGUCAUGUGAUGUGAAUUAAUUUCACUAAAUUCUUUUUUGUAUAAUUCCGCUGUUUGCGGAGUACCAAGGUGUUACCAAUGAGAACCUGCCCCACAAUUUCUCCACACGACUGGACCACCACUUGCCUUGUUUAAUGACCAUUUUUCGACAAAAAGCAUCCAAGACUGGCAAGACCGCAGAUGCAUUAACAAAUCUUUUAAGAGUGCAUGAUGGACAGGAACAGCAUGAUGUGAACGCGACGAACUACUGUUAUUAGAGCUAUUCCCAUCUUGCUGCUUGACAAUGACUUGGAGUUCUUCAGGACCUCCCUGAUGAGAAGAUGAUUGAAAGAACUGGAGCGAAACCAUACCAAUGUGGGGUUUGUGUGAAACGAUUUAGACAAAGAAGUAGUUUAAGCAGACACCAGAGAAUACAUUCACAUGAAAAACCUUACAAGCCAUUAAGAACAUCACGGACGUCGCUGAAAAGGCGUCAAGAUGGCUGUGGAUCAAGCGGGGUGAUCCGUGGAUCAUACAAGCUACUCAGACACAAGCAAGGGUCUGAUCAACCAUGGCUGGGUCGCCUGGGCGAGGAUGUAUGAUGUUGUGAGACCCGAAACACCCAAUGAACCCAGGAUACAUCACUGAUGAUGUGUCUGUUAGUUUUGAAAUACACCUCUGGUGCAACUCAAAUGCUCUCAGUGUAAUAAAACCUAUACAAAUGCAUUGUCGUUGACAGCCCAUAAGAGACCUCACAUUGCAGAGAAACCUUAUAGCUGUGGAAAAUGUAGAAAGAGGUUCUCAGAUUCUUCAAAUCUGAGAGCACAUGAACAUCUUCACACUGGCAAGAAACCACACACCUGUGAUUUCUGUGACAAGUCUUUUAGUCGAAUUGACUAUUUAAUUCAACACAGGAGGAUCCAUAAUGUUAAAAAAACGCUACAAAUGCUCUCAGGCAGAGACAAAGAUCUCGGGCCAUGUAAGAAGCUGAUAACUCCAACUUCCUUCAAAGUUGGUUCCCUGGUGUUAAAUGUCGAGGUGGGUUCUGGUGAAGUCGUCAUCAAGGUUGCUAGAACCGGCUCGGCACCAGGCCCGAGUGGAGUGCCGUACGUCGCCUAUAAGAGGUGCCUUAGACUCUUGAAGAGGUUAUGGAAACUGAUUAAGGUCAUCUGGAGGAGAGGGAAGAUGGCUCAGCAGUGGCGACAUGCAGAGGGUGUCUGGAUCCCGAAGGAGGAGAGCUCAAGCACCAUCGGGCAGUUCAGACUCAUCUCGCUUCUCAGUGUUGAGUGCAAGAUCUUCUUCAGCAUUCUUGCUCACUGGACCAACAUUACGUUCCAGACAAGAUCAAGAACCUCAUACUGGACUAUUACAACUCCUUCAGUUUGAGAGUCACCUCAGAAGCGGAAACAUCUGCAUUUCAUCGGCUGGAGAAGGGCAUUAUCACUGGAUGUACAAUUUCUGUGAUAUUGUUUGCCUUGGCAAUGAAUAUGCUGGUGAAGUCAGCAGAGGUGGAGUGCAGAGGCCCAAUCACCAAGUCAGGCAUACGGCUGCCCCCCAUCAGAGCAUUUAUGGAUGAUCUGACGAUGACCAGUCCCGGGGUGCAGAUGGAUCCUCCAAAGGCUCAAACACCUCAUCAAAUGGGCUCAGAUGGACUUUAAGCCAGCCAAGUCCAGGUCCCUGGUAGUGAGGAAAGGUAAGGUUACAGACCAGUUCCGUUUCACACUAGGAGGCAUCCAGAUACCAUCUGUUCAAGAAAAGCCAGUCAAGAGCCUAAGCAAGAUCUACGACUGUUCCCUGAAGGACACCGCAGCAAUCCAGACGACCACUAACCAGUUGGGAAGCUGGCUGAUGGCUGUGGACAAGUCAGGUCUGCCAGGUAAAUAUAAAGCCUUGAUUUACCAGCAUUGCAUCCUGCCCCGACUGCUCUGUCCACUGCUGGUCUAUAAUGUUCCAAUCACCACCGUUGAAGGCUUUGAGAGGAAAGUCAGCUGUUUCCCGCGGAAGUGUCUAGGGCUACCAAGGAGUCUCCGUGACAUCGCCUUGUACGAUAGGAAGAACAAGCUAAAACUGCCUUUCAGUAGUUUGAAGGAAGAUUUCAUGGUAACCAGAGCAAGAGAGGUAAUACUUUACAGACUCCAUUGACAUCAAAGUCUCUUCAGCAGGCAUAGAGGUCGUAACUGGCAGGAAGUGGAAGGCCCAUGAGGCAGUAGAGCAGGCUGAGUCACGGCUGCGACAUGGCGAGCUGGUAGGAGUGGUGGCAUCUGGACGGGCAGGACUCGGGAGCAACCCAACACCUUGCUUUAACAAGGCCCAGGGAAAAGAAAGGCAGCAGCUGUUUCAAGAUGAGGUCCGAGCAGGGGAGGAGGAAGCUCGCGGCAGCAGAGCAGUAGGGAUGCGGCAGCAGGGGGCAUGGACCCGAUGGGAGCAGGCGGAGGAUAUCAUGGGCAGAAUUGUGGAAGUCUGAGCCACACCGGAUUAAAUUUCUGGUUAAGUCUGUCUAUGAUGUCCUCCCUAGCCCAUCCAAUCUAUUUCGCUGGGGCUUGUCAGAUACACCUUUGUGCCCACUCUGCAAGAGAGGAGGAUCAUUGGAGCACAUCUUGAGCUGCUGUCCCAAAGCAUUGGGAGAUGGGCGCUACCGUGUGAGAGAAGAUUUAGACAGUCGGGUCACUUAUUAACCCAUAAGAGA